UAGGGAAUCUUCGGCAAUGGACGAAAGUCUGACCGAGCAACGCCGCGUGAGUGAAGAAGGCUUUCGGAUCGUAAAACUCUGUUGGUAGAGAAGAACGUUGGUGAGAGUGGAAAGCUCAUCAAGUGACGGUAACUACCCAGAAAGGGACGGCUAACUACGUGCCAC
RNAcentral lists this ribosomal RNA (165 nucleotides) under uncultured bacterium. RNAcentral describes it as "partial 16S rRNA". It matches the Rfam family "Bacterial small subunit ribosomal RNA", at positions 355 to 511 of the family's 1533-position model. The record is from RNAcentral.